This 505-nucleotide long non-coding RNA is filed under the name Solanum tuberosum (potato). RNAcentral's name for it is "long non-coding RNA (STUB_LNC000869)". Lineage: Eukaryota; Viridiplantae; Streptophyta; Magnoliopsida; Solanales; Solanaceae. The record is from RNAcentral.
CCUUUCUCUGGGCAGCGACUAUACAGUGACCAGCUUGGAGACUACUUCACCACCUAAAUAAGAUUUCAAGAAUUUCGCCGAGCAAAGCAGAAGCAAGAGAGGUUAGAGACUAAACAAAAUUUGAAAAAUAUUCAAAAUCAGAAAUUAGAGCAAAGUAGAAGCAAGCGAGUGCACUACGUUUAAUUUUGGCAUAUCCCUAAUAACCACAUCCCGCUCCCUAGUUGUUUUUCACCAAAUAGAACUCAACGCCCUCCUCUUCAUCGCACCAGAAGCUCACCGAACAGAUGAAAAACGAGAAAUUACCAAAGGCAGAAGCUCACCUUUCACUUGAGGAUGAAGGAAACAAGAGCAAUUUCACCUUUCGCCUGAGGAUGAAGGAGACAAGAGCAAUUUCACCUUUCACCUGAGACGGGAGCCAUUUCACCUGAGAUGGAAGAAAUCGAAAGGAGAAGGAGAUGGAGCUUUUACUAAGAGAAAUUUUACCUGAUACAAAGCUUUCACCAAG